ACUUUCUUUUCCAUUUCAAAAAAUAAUGGAGAUACCACCGAAAAGCAUUAAGAAUAGUCAUCCAUGGUAAAAAAUUUUAGAAGCCGAGUAGUGUCUGUUUCAAAUUAAAAAAUCGAAAGCACUACUCAUAACAUUGCAACCAAACAUUCAUACAACAUGCCAAAAAAAAAAAAUCCCAUUAGGGGGGGCCCCCCAAACACAUUUCCCAAAAAAAAAUCAAAGGCCAGCCAAUUUCCUUCCGUUUAAAAUAAAAUUUUCCCCCCAAUUUAAAAAUUUUGGAUACCCGGGGUCCAAACCCUUUUCAAAAAAAAAUUUUAAAACUUUUUUCCAAAAAAAAAAAAUUAAAAAACUUUUUACAAAAUUAAAAAAAAAAUAAAAUUACCUAAAAAAUUAAUUUUACCACCUUUUAGUUUUAAAAUUUAAAUUGUAACCCCAAUAAUCCGG
This 444-nucleotide ribosomal RNA is filed under the name Acanthocheilonema reconditum. RNAcentral describes it as "partial 12S ribosomal RNA". The record is from RNAcentral. Lineage: Eukaryota; Metazoa; Nematoda; Chromadorea; Rhabditida; Onchocercidae.